This 492-nucleotide ribosomal RNA is filed under the name uncultured bacterium. Its description in RNAcentral is "bacterial SSU rRNA". It matches the Rfam family "Bacterial small subunit ribosomal RNA", at positions 28 to 526 of the family's 1533-position model. The record is from RNAcentral.
GACGAACGCUGGCGGCGUGCUUAACACAUGCAAGUGGAGCGACGAACCGGGCUUCGGCCCGGGGCAAAGCCGCGAACGGGUGAGUAUCACGUGGGUAACCUGCCCCGAUGACCGGGAUAACCCGAGGAAACUCGGGCUAAUACCGGAUGUGCUCCUCGCACAUCAGUGCAAGGAGUAAAGGAAGCUUCGGCCUCCGCAUUGGGAUGGGCCCGCGGCCCAUUAGCUUGUUGGUGAGGUAACGGCUCACCAAGGCGACGAUGGGUAGCUGGUCUGAGAGGACGAUCAGCCACACUGGGACUGAGACACGGCCCAGACUCCUACGGGAGGCAGCAGUGGGGAAUCUUGCGCAAUGCGCGAAAGCGUGACGCAGCAACGCCGCGUGAGGGAAGAAGGCCUUCGGGUUGUAAACCUCUUUCAGCAGGGACGAAGCGAAAGUGACGGUACCUGCAGAAGAAGCACCGGCUAACUACGUGCCAGCCGCCGCCGUAAAAC